Molecule: transfer RNA, 65 nt
Filed under: Afronurus yixingensis
Lineage: Eukaryota; Metazoa; Arthropoda; Insecta; Ephemeroptera; Heptageniidae
Also listed under: 1 other name
Description: tRNA-Pro
Source: RNAcentral
CAGAGGGUAGUUUAUGAAAAUAUUAGUUUUGGGGACUAAAGAUAGGGCAAUAGCUUUACCUCUGA